AUUUUUUUUAAUUUUCUCAGCUUCCACGACACUUCAAGAUGUGUGUGAAGAAUAACACGUGGUUAAACCUCUUUUGAGGAUGUGUAGAGAUGGACAAAUUCUCUUGAAAAUUGAAUACACAUUCAAACUAUCUGAACAAAACUAUCCUGCUCCAGGUUAAGAUUAAGGGUUUUAGAUCUGAAAUAAACACCAACUUUUAGGCUCAAAGUGGUUGAC
RNAcentral lists this long non-coding RNA (216 nucleotides) under Lathyrus oleraceus (garden pea). RNAcentral's name for it is "Pisum sativum (pea) long non-coding RNA (PSAT_LNC007511)". The record is from RNAcentral. Lineage: Eukaryota; Viridiplantae; Streptophyta; Magnoliopsida; Fabales; Fabaceae.